Molecule: non-coding RNA, 2208 nt
Organism: Ictidomys tridecemlineatus (thirteen-lined ground squirrel)
Lineage: Eukaryota; Metazoa; Chordata; Mammalia; Rodentia; Sciuridae
Source: RefSeq, a predicted model, not a curated record
CUAUCUGGGGAAGGAGAAGCCAUCGGAUCCUCAUCUCUAUUGAAGGCUCCAGCUAUGGAUGCGGUUGAUACGGGUGUCCCUCACCCCAGCUUUCACACAAGUUUUUCUUCUCACCUUCGGCUGGCCUGCUGAAGCUUUAAACAACCGGCCUCUGGCAGCUUUUAUGAAUAGAAAAGGUGAUGCCGUGUAACUUGUGAGGCCAAAUGCAAUUUCCACUUCUGUUGCUUGUACCGUGCACUCUCAGGAGCCAGCUGCCAGGUGAGAAAUCUGACUAUCCUGAGACCGCCAUGUUGUGAGGAAGCCCAAGCUAGGCACGUGGAAAGACAGAGGCCACAUUGAACAGCCGUAAGACACCAGGUGUGGGUGGGAUCCUUGACUUUCCAGCCUAGUCCAUUUGUCCGUCCAGUGCAGCCAGCCAGCAAUCUCAGCUGAACCCAUUCAGAGAAGACUAUACGAGAGAGCAUGGCCCACCGGGAUUUCUGUGAGGCCAGCACUGGCAGCUCCACAGGGGACAUGGCGAUCACAACCAAUAGUGCUUCUUGGACCCCAGCAGCCUGCAUCCUUGUGGGCAUCUGUUUUCCUCUCCCGUGGGGAUAAAAUCAGGGUCCCUUUUCUGGUGACAUGUAAGCUGAGCUUCCCUGACUCUAGCAGAGGGCACUUGCCAGACGGUCGUCAAAGGUCUCCUUCCCCGUCACCUUGGUUUUGUGAUCCCGUCCCCACAGGAAAGCCCGAGUCUCCGUGUUAAACUUUCUGCAGUCGACACACCUGGGGCUUGCGGCUCUGCCUGAUGACUGGGUUGCUUCCAAAGAGCCAACGGGAGUUGCGGCUUGAGCUGUGAUAACGGCUUCUCGAAGGAAUCCCCACCAUCUACCUUUCUGCUAAUCCAAUCUGGAGUUUGCUGGGGCUUUGAGGGAUUAGUGUUCUCAUCUGGGUUCCCGCUGUGCUCUGUGGGGACAUCCAUUACUGCUGUUUUAUGUUUUGGUCUUCUCCCACGACUCCUCAGUCCCACCCUUGACCCUGAGCUGGGGGGAUAAGGGGACAGCUGAUUGCCUUCAGUUGGAAUUCUUUGUCAAGUUCUGUAUCUGGAUGUUGGUAGAGACACGUCCUUUCUCCCAGCCAGUGGGGAGAGGUCACUGUUUUGCCUCAAAGUUUCUAGCGUGGGUCCCUCAUUCUGAAGGGUUUCCCCACGGGGCCUGGCUAUAUACAGUGUUGGUUGUAUCCUUGUUUGAAUUUGGUUUGCCCUAGUGAGAUGGCCGUCGGAGGCCAACAGCACUUGAUGUCCCUACAGGCAGCCCUUGGUCUGUUCUCUCCCAAAGCCCCUAGCACACUCUGGGUCCAUUCGAGGUGGCAAGGUGUGCCUUCAGGGUGAUGCAGGGGACCUGAGGCCUGGACUCUGAGCCCCUGGGGUAUGGCUUCUACAAUCCCUAUCCAGCCCACGACUGGACACAACUUCCCAUUCCACAAUGUCACUGAGUCCUCAGCCUGCACACACAGUCUCCUGGACUGCAUUUCUGUCAUCUGGCUUGGGGACAGGAGCUCAUUUCCAGUCACACUGUACCGGCGUUCCCAUCUUCCCUCCCUCCUGGCCAUGUUUGUUCAGUCCCUUGUAGACCAAGUGAUUGGGCAGUGGCAUGUCAGCCAGGUUGUGGAGGGAGACAGACACACCAGUGCAGAGCACAGCUGUGCGCCUGGCCUGGUUGGAUGCCACAGCCCCCGCUGUCAUGUCCUCCUCCUGUCCAGCACCUUACUCACCACGGUCAUCAGCAGUGAGUUGGUGACCCGACUCUGCCCAGAGCUACUUCCCAGUGAGCCAGCCGGCUGUCCUUCUGUGUCCUGCCGAGGGCUGGGAGGUGCCUCUGUGCAGAUGAAUGCAUUUCAUCCUCAAGAACCCUUGAUGAGGAAACAGGCCUGAAGAAGUCACUAGCCAAAGGUCACUGGCCGUGAGUGAUAGAGCUGGGAUCUGAACCAUGUGGUCUGUUCUCAGCGAUUUUGCUUGGCAGACUCUCCUGCCUCUCGGACGUCAGUGUGCAUGUGUGUGCGUGCGUGUGUGAAUGUGCAUUAAAAGUCGGGCAGGGGCACAUUAAAAACGAUUUGCAGUGGGAAUCAGUGUUAGUGGACACAGGCAUCUGACAAGAUGGGCAUCACUGGGCGCUCCUGAUGCCAGUUUCCCUUUACCUAAUUAAGGGGAGGAGAAGUUGGGGAGGAGAA